RNAcentral lists this ribosomal RNA (465 nucleotides) under Vreelandella stevensii. RNAcentral describes it as "partial 16S ribosomal RNA". It matches the Rfam family "Bacterial small subunit ribosomal RNA", at positions 338 to 795 of the family's 1533-position model. Lineage: Bacteria; Pseudomonadati; Pseudomonadota; Gammaproteobacteria; Oceanospirillales; Halomonadaceae. The record is from RNAcentral.
CCUACGGGGUGCAGCAGUGGGGAAUAUUGGACAAUGGGCGAAAGCCUGAUCCAGCCAUGCCGCGUGUGUGAAGAAGGCCUUCGGGUUGUAAAGCACUUUCAGUGGGGAAGAAAGCCUUGGGGCUAAUACCCUCGAGGAAGGACAUCACCCACAGAAGAAGCACCGGCUAACUCCGUGCCAGCAGCCGCGGUAAUACGGCGGGUGCGAGCGUUAAUCGGAAUUACUGGGCGUAAAGCGCGCGUAGGCGGUCUGAUAAGCCGGUUGUGAAAGCCCCGGGCUCAACCUGGGAACGGCAUCCGGAACUGUCAGGCUAGAGUGCAGGAGAGGAAGGUAGAAUUCCCGGUGUAGCGGUGAAAUGCGUAGAGAUCGGGAGGAAUACCAGUGGCGAAGGCGGCCUUCUGGACUGACACUGACGCUGAGGUGCGAAAGCGUGGGUAGCAAACAGGAUUAGAUACCCUAGUAGUC